RNAcentral lists this ribosomal RNA (840 nucleotides) under uncultured bacterium. RNAcentral's name for it is "bacterial SSU rRNA". It matches the Rfam family "Bacterial small subunit ribosomal RNA", at positions 553 to 1400 of the family's 1533-position model. The record is from RNAcentral.
AUUGGGCGUAAAGGGUGCGCAGGCGGUCCUGCAAGUCUGGAGUGAAACGUAUGAGCUCAACUCAUGCAUGGCUCUGGAAACUGGAGGACUGGAGAGCAGGAGAGGGCGGUGGAACUCCAUGUGUAGCGGUAAAAUGCGUAGAUAUAUGGAAGAACACCAGUGGCGAAGGCGGCCGCCUGGCCUGUUGCUGAUGCUGAGGCACGAAAGCGUGGGGAGCAAAUAGGAUUAGAUACCCUAGUAGUCCACGCCGUAAACGAUGAGGACCAAGUGUUGGGGGUGAAACCUCAGUGCUGAAGUUAACGCAGUGAGUCCUCCGCCUGGGGAGUAUGCACGCAAGUGUGAAACUCAAAGGAAUUGACGGGGGCCCGCACAAGCGGUGGAGUAUGUGGUUUAAUUCGAAGCAACGCGAAGAACCUUACCAGGCCUUGACAUGGGAUGCGAAGACGCAGAGAUGCGUUGGAGGCUAACAUCCACACAGGUGGUGCAUGGUUGUCGUCAGCUCGUGUCGUGAGAUGUUGGGUCAAGUCCCGCAACGAGCGCAACCCUUGUGGCAUGUUGCUAACAGGAAAGCUGAGGACUCAUGCCAGACUGCCGGUGACAAACCGGAGGAAGGCGGGGAUGACGUCAAAUCAUCAUGCCCCUUAUGGCCUGGGCUACACACGUACUACAAUGGCGGCUACAAAGAGCGGCGAGACAGUAAUGUCGAGCGAAUCUCAUAAAAGCCGUCCCAGUUCGGAUUGGAGCCUGCAACCCGGCUCCAUGAAGUUGGAAUCGCUAGUAAUCGCGGAUCAGCAUGCCGCGGUGAAUACGUUCCCGGGCCUUGCACACACCGCCCGUCAA